GUUUUGAUGGCAGUGAAGUUAGUGAUUGUAAUGGAUACAAUCAGCUAACUACACUGCCUACAAACC
Molecule: non-coding RNA, 66 nt
Organism: Nestor notabilis (Kea)
Lineage: Eukaryota; Metazoa; Chordata; Aves; Psittaciformes; Psittacidae
Source: Rfam